UCCUUGCCACUCAAAUGAUGAAGAACCUGCCUGCAAUGCAGGAGACCCGGGUUCGAUCCCUGGGUCAGGAA
This 71-nucleotide transfer RNA is filed under the name Ovis aries (sheep). It matches the Rfam family "tRNA". From Rfam's summary of the family: Transfer RNA (tRNA) molecules are approximately 80 nucleotides in length. Their secondary structure includes four short double-helical elements and three loops (D, anti-codon, and T loops). Further hydrogen bonds mediate the characteristic L-shaped molecular structure. tRNAs have two regions of fundamental functional importance: the anti-codon, which is responsible for specific mRNA codon recognition, and the 3' end, to which the tRNAs corresponding amino acid is attached (by aminoacyl-tRNA synthetases). tRNAs cope with the degeneracy of the genetic code in two manners: having more than one tRNA (with a specific anti-codon) for a particular amino acid; and 'wobble' base-pairing, i.e. permitting non-standard base-pairing at the 3rd anti-codon position. The record is from Rfam by way of RNAcentral. Lineage: Eukaryota; Metazoa; Chordata; Mammalia; Artiodactyla; Bovidae.